This 285-nucleotide ribosomal RNA is filed under the name Synchroma pusillum. RNAcentral describes it as "partial Bacterial small subunit ribosomal RNA". It matches the Rfam family "Bacterial small subunit ribosomal RNA", at positions 408 to 686 of the family's 1533-position model. The record is from RNAcentral. Lineage: Eukaryota; Synchromophyceae; Synchromales; Synchromaceae.
AAGAAGGCCUUAGGGUUGUAAAGCACUUUAAUUCGGGAAGAACAAGCUCAAACUAAUACUUUGAGCCCUGACGGUACCGAAAGAAUAAGCACCGGCUAACUCUGUGCCAGCAGCCGCGGUAAUACAGAGGGUGCGAGCGUUAAUCGGAUUUACUGGGCGUAAAGCGUGCGUAGGAGGCUUGUUAAGUCGGUUGUGAAAUCCCCGGGCUCAACCUGGGAACUGCAGUCGAUACUGGCAAGCUAGAGUUCGGUAGAGGGUGGCGGAAUUUCCGGUGUAGCGGUGAAA